RNAcentral lists this transfer RNA (64 nucleotides) under Mactra antiquata. RNAcentral's name for it is "tRNA-Ala". The record is from RNAcentral. Lineage: Eukaryota; Metazoa; Mollusca; Bivalvia; Venerida; Mactridae.
GGUGCUGUACUUUAAGAAAAAGGUUAAGCUUGCAACUUAGAAUUGGGCGUGUUCCCCAGUGCUU